This 211-nucleotide long non-coding RNA is filed under the name Capsicum annuum. Its description in RNAcentral is "long non-coding RNA (CANN_LNC011762)". Lineage: Eukaryota; Viridiplantae; Streptophyta; Magnoliopsida; Solanales; Solanaceae. The record is from RNAcentral.
AAAAAAGAAAAUAAAAAAAAUCAAAGAAGAAAAGAAUAAAGAGAAAUAGAAGUUGGGGAUAGAAGAGAGAAAAAAAAUAAAAGCAAAUAAAAAAAUAGAAAAAAGAGUAAGAAAAAAUGAGGAAAACACAAAAAAUAAAAAAUAUUAAAAAAUGAUAGUGUUUUUGACGAGAUUAAAUAUGUAGUGUAUUUAUAUUUUUUAUGAAUACAGA